GGUUAAGUGAAUAAGGGCGCACGGUGGAUGCCUUGGCACUAGGAGCCGAUGAAGGACGGGACUAACACCGAUAUGCUUUGGGGAGCUGUAAGUAAGCUAUGAUCCAGAGAUUUCCGAAUGGGGGAACCCAAUAUCUUUUAUAGGAUAUUACUUUUCAGUGAAUACAUAGCUGAUUAGAGGUAGACGCAGAGAACUGAAACAUCUUAGUACCUGCAGGAAGAGAAAGAAAAUUCGAUUCCCUGAGUAGCGGCGAGCGAAACGGGAAGAGCCCAAACCAACAAGCUUGCUUGUUGGGGUUGUAGGACUCCAAUAUGGUAGUCUGUUAGUAUAGUUGAAGGAUUUGGAAAAUUCCGCUAAAGAGGGUGAAAGCCCCGUAGACGAAAUGCUAACAACACCUAGGAGGAUCCUGAGUACGGCGGAACACGAGAAAUUCCGUCGGAAUCCGCGGGGACCAUCCCGCAAGGCUAAAUACUCCCUAGUGACCGAUAGUGAACCAGUACCGUGAGGGAAAGGUGAAAAGCACCCCGGAAGGGGAGUGAAAUAGAUCCUGAAACCGUGUGCCUACAACAAGUCAAAGCUCGUUAAUGAGUGAUGGCGUGCCUUUUGUAGAAUGAACCGGCGAGUUACGAUUGCAUGCGAGGUUAAGUCGAAGAGACGGAGCCGCAGCGAAAGCGAGUCUGAAUAGGGCGAAUGAGUAUGUAGUCGUAGACCCGAAACCAUGUGAUCUACCCAUGUCCAGGUUGAAGGUGCGGUAAAACGCACUGGAGGACCGAACCCACGUACGUUGAAAAGUGCGGGGAUGAGGUGUGGGUAGCGGAGAAAUUCCAAACGAACUUGGAGAUAGCUGGUUCUCUCCGAAAUAGCUUUAGGGCUAGCCUCGGAAUUGAGAAUGAUGGAGGUAGAGCACUGUUUGGACUAGGGGCCCAUCUCGGGUUACCGAAUUCAGAUAAACUCCGAAUGCCAUUCAUUUAUAUCCGGGAGUCAGACUGCGAGUGAUAAGAUCCGUAGUCGAAAGGGAAACAGCCCAGACCACCAGCUAAGGUCCCAAAAUAUAUGUUAAGUGGAAAAGGAUGUGGGGUUGCACAGACAACUAGGAUGUUGGCUUAGAAGCAGCCACCAUUUAAAGAGUGCGUAAUAGCUCACUAGUCGAGUGACCCUGCGCCGAAAAUGUACCGGGGCUAAACAUAUUACCGAAGCUGUGGACUACACCAUUAGGUGUAGUGGUAGGAGAGCGUUCUAAGGGCGUUGAAGGUCGAUCGUGAGGACGGCUGGAGCGCUUAGAAGUGAGAAUGCCGGUAUGAGUAGCGAAAGACAGGUGAGAAUCCUGUCCACCGUAUGACUAAGGUUUCCUGGGGAAGGCUCGUCCGCCCAGGGUUAGUCGGGACCUAAGCCGAGGCCGAUAGGCGUAGGCGAUGGACAACAGGUUGAUAUUCCUGUACCAGUUGUUUUUGUUUGAGCAAUGGAGGGACGCAGUAGGCUAAGGAAUGCAUGCGAUUGGAAGUGCAUGUCCAAGCAAUGAGUCUUGAGUAGAGUUAAAUGCUUUACUCUUUAAGGACAAGUUGUGACGGGGAGCGAAAUAAUAGUAGCGAAGUUCCUGAUGUCACACUGCCAAGAAAAGCUUCUAGUGAGAAAACAACUGCCCGUACCGUAAACCGACACAGGUAGUCGAGGAGAGUAUCCUAAGGUGAGCGAGCGAACUCUCGUUAAGGAACUCGGCAAAAUGACCCCGUAACUUCGGGAGAAGGGGUGCUGACUUCGGUCAGC
Molecule: ribosomal RNA, 1764 nt
Filed under: Enterococcus faecalis
Lineage: Bacteria; Bacillati; Bacillota; Bacilli; Lactobacillales; Enterococcaceae
Description: partial 23S ribosomal RNA
Rfam family: Bacterial large subunit ribosomal RNA
Source: RNAcentral